RNAcentral lists this long non-coding RNA (3134 nucleotides) under Vulpes vulpes (red fox). RNAcentral's name for it is "lncRNA (ENSVVUG00000005080.1)". Lineage: Eukaryota; Metazoa; Chordata; Mammalia; Carnivora; Canidae. The record is from RNAcentral.
AUGAUCCUGGAGUCCCGAGAUCGAGUCCCGCAUCGGGCUCCCUGCAUGGAGCCUGCUUCUCCCUCUGCCUGGGUCUCUGCCUCUCUCUGUGUCUCUGUCUCAAAUAAACAAAUAAAAAAAAUAAAAAUACGUGACCUUCCCGGUCUCCGGCAGGGGUGGCAGGGGAACUCCGACGGGCCACCGGGCAGGGCAGGUGGAUCAACCGGCGCGUCGCAGGGGCUUGUGGGAGGUGCCGCGGGGGCUUGUGGGGGUUGCCGCGGGCUCUUCCUGUGCAGCUGUGCAGUGCUGCGGGGCGGCGGGCGCGGGAGUUCCCGCGACUCCUCGCAGCGCCCCCAGCUGCUUGCGGAGAGACUGGGGCUCACAGGGGCCUCUGGGUCAGCGGAACGACGCGGAUCAGAACGCGAGAGUGCGGGGCUUAGUGGCGUCUGCCCCCGAGUGGCUCCCGGGUCCCUUCUCCCCCGGACUCCCUGCGGCCGGCUGCUCCGUCCGGCUCCGAGCCCCACCCUCAUCCCCCCGACCCAGAUCCGGGUCGCGAUUUCGAGUCUCGCCUCGGAGCAGUGUGCUCCCGUGCUCCCCGGGACUCGGGUUUCUCUCUCGAGUGCCUGCUGGGCCGCUCCUGUGUCCAGAGGUCCCUAGCCCGCGUUGCUGCAGGUAUGUAUCCUGACAGGUGCUUAGCGGACCUUUGCGCCCGGCUGGCUGGCGGGGAGGAGGCAGGAACAGAGAUUUGGAGCCCGGGAGAAAGAUGCCAGCUGAGAACAAGCCAUGCUCUUGAUGAAUGGGGGCUGCAGCUCCACGGGCAGCUGGAACCCAUCUUGAGGGGACACACCUGUGACCUGAGGCCUGCCAAAACGGAGCCAGCACUGGGGUGGAGCCGCUGGGGCUGCGGAGGUUACUUAGCAAGGCUUGGGUCAGGGGACCACUUUCGGAGAACAGGGAGACGCAGUGGAAGUCUUGACUCAAAACAGAGGAAAGACCACUUCAGUGAGAUGGUGAACAGGAUGCAGUGUGGAGAAAAGAAGGCAUCCUCAGGCAGGGGGGUGAGGGAACGGUUCAGACAAGGCAGAAACAAUGGCCACAGUCCCUGGGAGUUACCAGGAAGGCUUGGUGUCUCAUGGCUCCUUUCUUCUCCAGCUCUGCCUCCUUAACUCUGACCUCGCCCAGGAGGAAGAAGAGGUGACCAAUUCCCAGGUAAGAUGCAGUCCGGACCAGUCCGGGCUCUUGAGGAAAAACUUUAAGUUCCUCUUUCUUCCCUAGAAAAGGAGAAGGAAACAUUCAUGGAGCACUUGCUGCAUGCUAGAUACACUCAACAUCGACUUUUCUUUUCAUUCUCAUGAUAAGUGUGAGAGGUGGAUAUUAUUCCCAUUUUAGAGAUAUAGCAACUGUCUCAGUGGGGGGUUAGAGACUGGUUAUGUUCACCAAGCUGUUAAGUGGGGAAGUCAGGAUUCAUCUCCAGGUCCCUUGCUUCUCCUGUUGUCAGUGGACUAGUCUUCUCCUCCAUGGCCUGGGCAUAAAUUGUCCUAUUCUGUGAAAUGAGGGACUCCAAAGAGAAUGCUACCCUCGGGCCUGAUGCUCUCCUUUUAAGUUUGUUAUCUUCUCUACCUGAACAUGUUGCUCCUUCAUUUAUCCACUGAGUUAUGACCGCUUUUUUUUAAUUUUUAUUUAUUUAUGAUAGUCACACAGAGAGAGAGGCAGAGACAUAGGCAGAGGGAGAAGCAGGCUCCAUGCACUGGGAGCCCGAUGUGGGAUUCGAUCCCGGGUCUCCAGGAUCGCGCCCUGGACCAAAGGCAGGCGCUAAACCGCUGCGCCACCCAGGGAUCCCUGAAGAGAAAGACAAAUUGGCUUAGAUACAGUUCUUCAAAAUUUGUGGUUUCUUUGGGGGAGAUGAAUAUACACGUGUGUCAAAUAGUGAUUACCACUCGUGUAUACAUUAAGUAUAAUGAAAGAAGCCAUAUUUAAGUGUCAGUCUGAGGAUGCAAGUCGGUGGUGUAUCAGUGCUGGAGAAGUGAUUGGGAAAGACUUCCUGUAGGAGGUGAGCUUUUGUUUCUUAAAGAGAAGAUUUGAGUAUAUGAACUUCCAUACCUCUUUCGAGUCUUUACUUUUUUUGUUGUUAAUUGUUUUAUGGCCUAGUAGGUGAUCAAUAUUUACAAGUUUCAUGUGUGCUUGAGUAGAAUAUGUAUUCUCUAAUGGUUGCUGCCAACAUCUAUGGGUGUCCAUUUAUUUUUGUUUGCUUGACCCUUCAGUAAUUGAGAAAGAAAAAAUGUGUGAAAUUUCUUUGAGUAGUGGAUAUGUCAGAUUCUCUCUACAAGACUAAGAUUUUUAAAAAGAUGUAAUUCGUGGAUGUUUUAAGAGGUAUAUACAAGUUUAGAGUUAUAGCUUCAUGGUGAAUUGAAAUUUUUAUCUCUGUAGUGACCUUUUAUUUCACUAGUGAUGCUUUUCAUCUAGAAAUCUACUUUGUUUAAUAUUAAGAUAGCUAUUCCAGCUUUAUUUUCCUUAUUAUUUGCUUGGUUUAUCUUUUCCCAUACUUUUAACUUUUUCAUGGCCUUAUGCUUUAGGCUUAUCCCUUACUAACAAUUUAAAGCUGAAUUCCCCCCUCAAUUUGAUCAUCUCUGCCUUUUUAACUGGUGGGUUUAGUUUAUUUGCAUUUAGUGUAGUUACUGGUGUAUUUGAUCUGUUUAUCUUUUUCCUUAAAAAAAAAAAAAUGGGCUCCAUAUCCAUUGUGGAGCCCAUUGUGGGGCUUGAACUCACAACCUUGAGAUCAAGAUCCAAGCUGAUUUAGAAUCUGACACAACUGACUGACCCACCCAGCUGCCCCUAUACUUAUACUUUUAAUUUUGUCUACUUUUUGUUUUUUUUUCUCUCCAUUCUUACCUUUUGUUUUUUGUAUACUGUUUUUUAAGGGCUAGUGCUUUCCCACCCCACCCUCCUCAUUUUUUUUAUNACCUAUAUCUACUCUUUAGGUGGCUGUCCUUGAAAUUUUACCAUAUAUUUGCAAAUCUAAGUUUAAACAACUUUAAGAAUAUUGCAAAGACUUUAAAACUCUUUAUUAGUGAUUGCAUCCUGACUUAUAAACUGUUAUUUUCUGCAUUUUAAUUCUGUUCUUUUAAUAAAUUAGGUAUUAUUAGAAUUAUUAUACA